This 963-nucleotide ribosomal RNA is filed under the name uncultured bacterium. Its description in RNAcentral is "bacterial SSU rRNA". It matches the Rfam family "Bacterial small subunit ribosomal RNA", at positions 48 to 965 of the family's 1533-position model. The record is from RNAcentral.
GCUAUACAUGCAAGUCGGACGCACUUUCGUUGAAUGAUUUAGAGAUGCUUGCAUCGAAGAUGAUUUUAACUAUAAAGUGAGUGGCGAACGGGUGAGUAACACGUGGGUAACCUGCCCAGAAGUGGGGGAUAACACCUGGAAACAGAUGCUAAUACCGCAUAAUAAAGUAAACCGCAUGGUUUUCUUUUAAAAGAUGGCUUCGGCUAUCACUUCUGGAUGGACCCGCGGCGUAUUAGCUAGUUGGUGAGAUAAAGGCCCACCAAGGCUGUGAUACGUAGCCGACCUGAGAGGGUAAUCGGCCACAUUGGGACUGAGACACGGCCCAGACUCCUACGGGAGGCAGCAGUAGGGAAUCUUCCACAAUGGACGAAAGUCUGAUGGAGCAACGCCGCGUGAGUGAUGAAGGCUUUAGGGUCGUAAAACUCUGUUGUUGGAGAAGAACGUGUGUGAGAGUAACUGCUCAUGCAGUGACGGUAUCCAACCAGAAAGCCACGGCUAACUACGUGCCAGCAGCCGCGGUAAUACGUAGGUGGCAAGCGUUAUCCGGAUUUAUUGGGCGUAAAGCGAGCGCAGGCGGUUUCUUAAGUCUAAUGUGAAAGCCUUCGGCUUAACCGAAGAAGUGCAUUGGAAACUGGGAAACUUGAGUGCAGAAGAGGACAGUGGAACUCCAUGUGUAGCGGUGAAAUGCGUAGAUAUAUGGAAGAACACCAGUGGCGAAGGCGGCUGUCUGGUCUGUAACUGACGCUGAGGCUCGAAAGCAUGGGUAGCGAACAGGAUUAGAUACCCUGGUAGUCCAUGCCGUAAACGAUGAAUGCUAAGUGUUGGAGGGUUUCCGCCCUUCAGUGCUGCAGCUAACGCAUUAAGUAUUCCGCCUGGGGAGUACGACCGCAAGGUUGAAACUCAAAGAAUUGACGGGGGCCCGCACAAGCGGUGGAGCAUGUGUUUAAUUCGAAGCUACGCGAA